RNAcentral lists this ribosomal RNA (798 nucleotides) under uncultured bacterium. RNAcentral describes it as "bacterial SSU rRNA". It matches the Rfam family "Bacterial small subunit ribosomal RNA", at positions 8 to 796 of the family's 1533-position model. The record is from RNAcentral.
AGAGUUUGAUCAUGGCUCAGAACGAACGCUGGCGGCGUGUCUUAAGCAUGCAAGUCGAGCGGCAAGGCGGGGCAACCCGCCCUAGAGCGGCGGACUGGUGAGUAACACGUGGGUGAUCUGCCCUUGGUCUGGGGAUAGCUCGUGGAAACACGGGGUAAUACCGAAUACGCUUAUUAUGCUGAGGCGUAGUAAGGAAAGGCGCUAAGGCGCCGACCGAGGAUGAGCCCGCGUCCCAUUAGCUAGUUGGUGAGGUAAAGGCCCACCAAGGCUAUGAUGGGUAGGCGGCCUGAGAGGGUGUACGCCCACAUUGGGACUGAGAUACGGCCCAAACUCCUACGGGAGGCAGCAGCUAAGAAUAUUCCGCAAUGGACGAAAGUCUGACGGAGCGACGCCGCGUGGAUGAAGAAGGCCGAAAGGUUGUAAAAUUCUUUUGUCGGGGAAGAAUAACCAUGGGAGGGAAUGCCCGUGGGAUGACAUGAACCGGCGAAUAAGCCCCGGCUAACUACGUGCCAGCAGCCGCGGUAACACGUAGGGGGCAAGCGUUGUUCGGAAUUACUGGGCGUAAAGGGCAUGUAGGCGGUUUUGUAAGACUGGCGUGAAAGGCUGCAGCUUAACUGUAGCACUGCGCUGGUAACUGCGAGACUUGAAUCACGGAGAGGGAGCUAGAAUUCCAGGUGUAGGGGUGAAAUCUGUAGAUAUCUGGAAGAAUACCAAUGGCGAAGGCAAGCUUCUGGCCGAUGAUUGACGCUGAGGUGCGAAAGCGUGGGUAGCAAACAGGAUUAGAUACCCUAGUAGUCC